AGAACAUAAAAUCGGAGGCUAUUACAGGACUUCUCUCUGCUCAUUCCUGACAUCUUCUGUGCGUUUUAUUACUACAAAACGCAAACGGCGACUCACGGAAUUUUUUUUUAGAAAAAAAAAACUUCCAUUUGAUUCGUACAAAGUUGAAGCUGUAGGUGGAGCCUCUAGCAUGGUCACUGUCAAAGUGAACGGGGAAGUGCUGUGCGUGAAGCUUCUGGUUUGCAAGAUACAGGUCACAUUCUUGAGGAUGGGAAGAACAUCUAUAAUACGACUUUGAACAUGUCGGACCUGUGAACUGGUGUUAACAGGUAAAUGUGAAGACGGCAUGGCAUACAUUAAGACACUUAUAGUGCUUUGCUUCUGGAGUUUAGUAUUAUUUUGAAUAUGUGUCAGCACAGCUUACAUUUCAAUUACGGUCGUUGGCAAAGGGUAGCCCACUAAUG
RNAcentral lists this unclassified non-coding RNA (443 nucleotides) under Hevea brasiliensis (rubber tree). The record is from RNAcentral. Lineage: Eukaryota; Viridiplantae; Streptophyta; Magnoliopsida; Malpighiales; Euphorbiaceae.